Long non-coding RNA from Leucoraja erinaceus (little skate), 3029 nucleotides. RefSeq lists it as uncharacterized. The transcript has 3 exons. NCBI's taxonomy places the organism in Eukaryota, Metazoa, Chordata, Chondrichthyes, Rajiformes, Rajidae. The record is from RefSeq and is a predicted model, not a curated record.
GGGUGAUCGCUGGUCGGCCUGGACUCAUUGGGCCGAAGGGCCUGUUUCCCUGCUGCAUCUCGAAAGUGUAAAGCCUUCAUUAGUUUUGAGAAGGUAAAUAUAUACUGAGGUUUGCUAAACUGAAAAAGCCUUCAACUAAAUUUUCAGUGCCAUUAUAAGUUAGACUGAGAUGGCUGGCCUCAUACAAUGAGAAAGCAUUAUAUCAUGCACAGGUUCAAUUUCUAAUAUUAAAAGUAAAAUGACAAACAAUAGAGACAGAUUUUGGGAAUCACUGACAAAUCUGGAAAGUACACCAAUAUUUGUCAUUUUACCGAAUUUACCCCUUUAUAUAUAUUAACAUUUGAAUAGUUCACCAUAAAGGUCAGUUUUAGACAUAAUGGGCAAAAGGACGGCUUCUGGCGUUGUGUCAAUCUGAUUAAUUUUAACUCCCAAUUUUUAUGUUUGGUGUUCAUAAUCAUUGGGUUCCAUCCAGUGUGCACAGUAUCUGCGUCUCUGUUACUACCGAUCAUUUACGGAUCAAUAUUUUUCAAGGGAAGUAUUUAAAAUACAUCAAAGCAAAUUGGUAGAGCGUUGGUGAAUUCAUUUUAGCUUGAUACCAAGUAACUACAUUUGGGAAAUUGAAAGGGUUGUUAAUACAGCGACUUUGUUGUUCCGUGGUACAACUGUUUUGUGAAUUCAUGUGCAAGGAAGUAAACGUUUCUAUUAAUAUUUAGGAUACUAUUAUUUAUGAGGGAAUAAAACUUUAAAUCACAAACAGAAGAACAUUCUCGUGUUUUAUACCUUCUGGCCAAAGUACAGCAAGUGAAUAUGUAAACUGAGCAAUAGUUAAGCUGUUUGACUUCUCCAAUGCUUCCAAUGUCAACAACUAUUCUGUUGAUGGUUGACCUGCCGCCAGUGCACUGAUGAUCACAUUGGCAGCAUAUCUCCCAACAGCUUCAGGAUGGAUGACCUUAAUUCUGACAACGCGCUGCUAAACGCACAGUUGGUUCAGUACAGGGAGGUGCUAAACCAGAUCCUGUCUUUGUAGGAUAAUCAGUUGAAGGAGUUGUUGCAAAAUCAACAAUAGCAAAUUAAGCAUCUUGAGAAUGAGAAAUCCAUCUUCAAAGAGCAAUGGAUAGUUGUACAAAGACCGCUUAAACAAAGUCCCUUAAAGAUCCCUUAAACAAACUAAUCUAAAACAAAGUAAUGAAGGCCGAAACCCCUUGAAGAAACUGAAUUUGAAAAUCUCAAGGUACUAAAGAUGAAGUCAUGACAUUGCUCAUUGGUAGGACUUGUUCCUCAGGAUGCAUAUGAUGACUAAAUAUUUGUGUAUUUAUUUAUUUUUUAAUUUAAAAGAUUCCAAGAUGGACACAGCAAAGAUAUGUUGUAAUCUUGUUUUGCAUUCAUGUGUGUAUAAACAUUGAGCACUAUUUUCAUUUUGCAGGAAAAUGAAGAACUGGAAGCAACACAGCAGGAGCGCACAGAGGAAGAUCCGUCCUCCAGCAAGACGGAAUUGCCUGACCUAAGACCAGCGCCCAGGAAGUACAGCAUCAGUCUGGCGUCAUUCGAGGAAUGCGAGGAGGAUUUGGAGAUAGACCCCAGUGAAGAGGUGGUGGUGGUACGGAAGGCGAAGAGGCGAGUGAAUUUUUUCAAGCGCCUAUUUACGGCUAGAAAAUGAAGACUUCACGGACCAGGUCACGCUACUUGGUCUUGGCGUACUUUGCGACACCACAUUUGCCUAGUUUACGUGUGCCUGGCGAGACGUUUGUAGAUGCACUACAGAUGGGAAUGACACCAAUGUAUUUAUCAAAGUUGUUAAUGUGUUAAACACUGACCUCGGGUGUAUAAAUGAAUACUGUAUUGUUCAUGUAUGAAAAGUAUGAACGCAGCUCCCAGCGAUGCAUGUUGGUGUUGAACCGGCCGACCCCUGUACGGAGCCGAUUCAGGGCGACCCACUCUUUGCAGGGCAUGUCCGAGCCAGGUGGGGCUGUGGUGUUUGGUGCAACAGUGAAUUGAAGAGGUCGGGAAGUCUGUUCCCAGCUGGUUCUCCAAGCUCCUAGUGUGUUGAAACCGGAGCCACAGAGGGUGGCUGCGUGACGGGAGAAGUGGCGACGAGAUGACAGGCGUUGAGGUCCCAGUUGCUGUGAGUCCUGGGCGAGGUGGUGCAAAGGAUGUUUGGUGUCCGAUGGGGCCUUGCACACCAGCCUGUUGGUGAAGUACUCUCUGCGAAGCUUGGCGGGUGUGAUACCUGCGAGCACUGGCAGAAGAUCCGGAGUAGGACGUAGGCAGCCGGUGAUGAUCCGCAUGGUGUCGUUGAGGAUGGCGUCUAGUUUGCUUGUAUGAGCGCUGCGGCAUCGUGCUGGGGCGGUGUACUCAGCGGCACUGUCAAGUCUUCUAAUGUUUUUGCAGAUUCCCCGCGUGAAAGGGAUUUGAUUUAUCUACCCCGAAAUGAUGAACUGGAUUCACUCAGACCAAACACUUCUUUUCCACCUUUUAUUUUCUCUUCCUUUUAUUUUGGAAGAUUAGUCUUUAACAGUUUUAAGUCUUUACCAGGUGAAAAACCUUUAGACACAAAGGUAAAAAAUAUACACAUUACUGUAACCAAAUAUAAAUAACAGAAAAUUACAUGUAUCUAACAUUCCAACUCAUAGCAGCCAUUUUGUUUUUUAAAUAAUUUUCACAUUUCAUUAAAUGAAAAAUACAGAUAAUGCCCACUACUGUUACCAAUUUUUUAGCUUAAUAUCAUGUGAAUCUUUACUGUUUUUUAACACAUUUUAUCAUAUUUUUUAAAAUGCAAUUAUUUAAACUAACACCACACAUAGCAUAUAAGUAUUAGAAAUGAGCUCACAUUAGCCCUUAACCCCACAAUGAAGCAGGAUGCACUUUACAUAGACAACAAACACUAUCAUCACCCUGUCAUCUUGGUUAACAAACACCACCAAUAUUUCAAACUUUCUCAAUCAACACGUUAGUCAGACAAGUUUCUCAGAUAUUAAAGGGUUAAACAGAGUCUCUGGGGCUGCAGUCUUCGGCUCAGUUCAUUUAGAGUU